UUUGAAGACUGUUCAAAGUGAAUACAAGGCUUGUUUAAACGAGUUAUAAAGUAACUUUUCAGUUGAAUUUUGACAUGUUCACAAUAUUAUUUUACGCACUUCACAGCACUACGUGUCCGACAACGGGCGUCCUUCCUGUUUGUGCGACUGGGGGUGCGCACUGCGCAGUGCGCCGCGCUGGUGUGACCGUUAGUGUCGGCUUAUUACCGGCGAUUUCUUCGAUUUGCUGCUUUUUUAAGGAGCGUUUCUGAAAAAGUGUCUGCCUUGGUGAAGCAAGGAGCUGUUUCACUUCGCAUGGAGAACACCAAGGGCAGAGGUGGACCGCUGAGUCUCCAUACCAUGCCUCUCUAGUGCCAGAUAUCGGAAAAGCGGCCCGAACCAGCCCGUAAGACGUGGGCGAUGGAAGAUGCGACUGACAGGCCUAAUGAACUUCAGAGAGCUUAGAGGUAGGCCAGCUGUGCACUGUACCUAGAGAGUGGUUGGUUUGUUGUGUUACGCAGUUUAUUAGCGAAGUUACUGUAUGCAGCUAGCGAUGAGCAAUAAAUAUACGAGUCGUUUGAA
Amphibalanus amphitrite is the source of this 561-nucleotide long non-coding RNA. RefSeq lists it as uncharacterized. NCBI's taxonomy places the organism in Eukaryota, Metazoa, Arthropoda, Thecostraca, Balanomorpha, Balanidae. The record is from RefSeq and is a predicted model, not a curated record. The transcript has 2 exons.